UUUCAUGAUUGGAUGAUUUUCUGUAGUUUGUAUGCUUUGCUUCCUUUCAUCUUUUUUCUAUCUCCUAUAGGAGAUUUUUUGCUUUGUGGUUAUAUAACAUCUUAUAUUUGUAACAGUCUGUUUUAAGCUGGUAACAACAUUUUCAAAUGCACAAAAAAGCUUUACGUAUUUAUACUCUCCUUCCAGCAUUUUAUGUUUUCAAUGUCACUAUUUAUAUCUCUUUAAAUUGUGUAUCCAUUAACAAAUUAUUGUAGCUGUAGUUAUUUUUAAUACUUUUGUCUUUACAUCUUUCUUCUAGAGUUAUAAGUGACUUAUACAUUAUCAUUGCAAUAUUAGAAUAUACUGAAUUUAAGUAUAUGUUUACCUCUACCAGUGAGUUUUAUAGUUUCACAUAUUUUCAUGUUACUAAUUAACAUCUUUUGUUUCAACUUGAAGAAUUCCCUUAAACAUUUAAGGCCAAUCUAACGGUAAUGAAUUCCUUCAGCUUUCAUUGUCUCAGAAAUCUUUAUCUCUUCUUUAAUUUUGAAGGAUAACAAUCCUGGGUAGAAUAUUCUUGGUUGGCAGUCUUCUUCGAGUGUUUUAAAUAUGUCAUCCCACUCUUUUCUUGUCUAAAAGUUUCUGCUGAAAAGUCAAGUCAUAGUCUUAUGGAGGUUCUUUUGUAUGUAAUUGCCUGUACCUUUAGCUCCCUGAUGUAGGCUAAUUGGAAGCUUGACCUUCAGAUAACAGCUGGAAAAGUCAGGAUAUUAACUAUGCUGUCUAGCUCCUUUCAGGGAGAAAUCAAGAGCUGGAUGUUUUUACUUACUUGAUGCUAAGCCAAAGGGUAAAGUUGCUGGGGGUGCUUGUGCAUCCAUAUAGAACUGUCUGUUUUGUGUGGUCUUGGGGGACUGGUGAGUGCUGAGCCUUGCUAGUUCCCAGAUCUAGGUGACUUGGGAGCUAGUCCCUCAGGUGGCAGUUGCAACAGUUGGAUGCUCUGUGUAGUUCCUUUCAGGAAGAAGCUGGAUACUUGGUUUCACUGUUGGAGUGAGCCAGAGGGAGGAAGGGUGGGAUGUGCCUGACAACUCUUUUUGUUUUUUGGUUUUUGUUUUUGUCUUUUUGCCAUUUCUUGGGCCACUCCCGCGGCCUAUGGAGGCUCCCAGGCUAGGGGUCCAAUCGGAGCUGUAGCCGCCAGCCUACGCCAGAGCCACAGCAACGCAGGAUCCAAGCCGCAUCUGCGACCUACACCACAGCUCACGGCAACGCCGGAUCGUCAACCCACUGAGCAAGGGCAGAGAUCGAACCCGCAACCUCAUGGUUCCUAGUCGGAUUCGUUAACUACUGCGCCACGACGGGAACUCCAUGCCUGACAACUCUUUCAGGCUUCUGGAAGGAUCCUAGUCAACUUCUACAUGCAAACUUAUUAGAAGCCAGAUUCUCAGACAGUACGCAGUUGGGAAAGUAAGCAGUCAAAUCCCUUUCAAGGAGAAACUGGAAGAUGGAUAUUUUUGCCUGCUCCCCCUGUACUGACCUGGAGGGAUAAACUAUGGGAAAUGAGUGUGUGCCCUUUGAAACCUGCAUUUUUUUUUGUUUUAUGUGGUCCUGUGAGACUCAUGAAUACUGAGAUCCACUGGCUUUUAGGGCUAGACGAUUUGAGGGGCCGUUGCUCCAAUGGCAGCCAUAAAAGUUGGAGCUCUAGAUGUGUGCACAAGCUCCUUCCAGGGAGAAGCUGGCAAUUUGAUUUUCUUUUUUUUUUUUUUUUUGUCUUUUGUCUUUUUGGUUGUUGUUGUUGUUAUUGUUGCUAUUUCUUGGGCCGCUCCCGCGGCAUAUGGAGGUUCCCAGGCUAGGGGUUGAAUCGGAGCUGUAGCCACCAGCCUACGCCAGAGCCACAGCAACGCGGGAUCCGAGCCACGUCUGCAACCUAUACCACAGCUCAGGGCAACGCCGGAUCGUUAACCCACUGAGCAAGGGCAGGGACCGAACCCUCAACCUCAUGGUUCCUAGUCGGAUUCGUUAACCACCGCGCCACGACGGGAACUCCCAAUUUGAUUUUCUUGUUUGAGCAAGCCAGAGGGAGAAUGUGUGGGGCAGGGGAGGUGCCUCUUGGCUCUUACAGGCUCCUGGGAGGAUCCUAGUCAGCACCCAGAUGCAGGCUGAUUUAAAGCCAGAUCCUUGGGCAGCAACCGGGAUAGUAUGCAAACUCCUUCCAGGGACAGAGAGGGAGAUGAACGUUUUUCCUGCCCUUUGGGGGUCUAGCUGCUGGAAGUGCUCAUGGGCCUGUUUAAAAGUGGCUGCUUUGUUUACUCUGGUCUUAUGGGACUUGUGAAUGCCAUGCUCUGUUGUCUAUCAGAGAUGAGAUUUGAGGGUCUCUCCCUCGUGUAGCAGCCAUAAAAGUUGGGGCAUAGAUGUGGGGUCCAAACCACUCUCUCUUGAGGGAGAAGCUGAAAGUUGAGGGUUUCCUCUUGACUAUAGGCACUGUGCCAGGAGUGGGGUUUACGCAAAAGUGUGUUUCAACAUUUCCUUCCUGUUUUUUUGUUUUUUGUUUUUUUUUUCAGGAAAAGAAUCAAGACUUUAUUGUACGAAUGAAAGAAUACCAUUUGGAAAAUUAAGAAUAAAUCCUAGUUCUGUAUGUACACCACUCGUCUUCAUGAAUACAUAAGUGCAGGCAUAUCUAAAUAAGGUAGAAAUAAGGAAGAAGUCUGUCAUGACAUGGUGGGUCAGGAGGUGAGCGUUCGCAUGGAGUGGUUUGGAGUAGGUUGGCCUCAGGUCUCUGAAAGCCUUUGAGAGGGAAACAGCCCCUCCUUCCUGUUUUGAUGGAAGUAUUUUCUCAGCCUUCCAGUGUGUUGGGGUUAUUCAACUAGUUUCUGCAUUCCUUUCACAGGGGAAUUGAUCCACGCGUAGCUGUAUAUUCGGUGCAUCUGUGGGAGGAGGGAAAGUCGAGAGCCUCUUAUCUAGUCUUCUUGGUGAUGUCCUCCAUGGGACAUUCGUAAGGGGCCUUUGGGCUGCUCAGGCUUUCCUCUUGUCUGAGCAGUUCCAUUUGAAUUCUGCCACAUAAUUUAAAUUGGCACUGAGGAGAAACACCUAGAAUCAAAUCUUAGCCACAUAAACCUAAAUCACCCCAAGAACUAAGGGAAUCUAAAAUAUAUAGCAGGUACUGCUUUA
RNAcentral lists this long non-coding RNA (3135 nucleotides) under Sus scrofa (pig). RNAcentral describes it as "lncRNA (ENSSSCG00000056234.1)". The record is from RNAcentral. Lineage: Eukaryota; Metazoa; Chordata; Mammalia; Artiodactyla; Suidae.